Vicia villosa (hairy vetch) is the source of this 788-nucleotide long non-coding RNA. RefSeq lists it as uncharacterized. Lineage: Eukaryota; Viridiplantae; Streptophyta; Magnoliopsida; Fabales; Fabaceae. The record is from RefSeq and is a predicted model, not a curated record. The transcript has 4 exons.
CGUUUUAUGACCAGCAUAAAUUCAGAAAAGUUGUUCUUUUUACCGUUUAAUACCGGCAACGAGUUAGACUUUAAUUCUAAAUUCAUCUAUUAUAAUUUUUCAUAUUUUUACAUUGUGUAGAAAGUUUUCAUCUCACAUUUGUUUUGCCUUACAGUGGACAUUGGUUGUUGGUCGCGAUUAAUCCUAUCAGUGAAGUUGUAUAUUUUCUGGAUUCCUUACACAAUCCAGUUAGUACAUACGAAGCUAUGAAGAAUUUGGUUGAUACCGUUAUACAAGUUUUUCGAGCACAAAAAGGAAGUCAAGUACCAAAGAGUAAAGCCAACAACAUCACAUGGAUUCAAAUGGAGGUAUAUUAAUUAAUGUUUCAAAAUUUUGAUUAUAUAAAUAGUGAUGAUAUAUACGUGAUAAAACUUAGGCCUUAUCCAUAUUUUCUUUCCAUGUGUAGUGUCCUAGGCAGCGUAAUGAAGUAGAUUGCGGUUUUUACAUGUUGCAGUAUAUGAAAGAAAUUCUUCUUUCGAAUCAAAUAGAGAUUCCGUCCAAAUAUUUUGACGACUUCAAGUGUGCUACUUACUCAAAAUCUAAGUUGGAUGAACUUAAGGAGGAAUGGUGUCAAUUCAUGAUUGAGUUGAAAGUUGUAUAGGAUAUUGAAGGGUAAAAAGGUUAGCUGGCAAGAAGAAAAAGUAGAUAUUUAGCAUCCUUUUGACUUGUGUAAAAAAUAACAAUGUUUUGGAUAAUGCAAUUGUUUUCAUUGAAUUGGAUGUAAUUUUGUUGUUGUUUAUUAAUAUAUU